This 16985-nucleotide long non-coding RNA is filed under the name Lotus japonicus. Its description in RNAcentral is "long non-coding RNA (LJAP_LNC001485)". The record is from RNAcentral. Lineage: Eukaryota; Viridiplantae; Streptophyta; Magnoliopsida; Fabales; Fabaceae.
AAAUCAACCUUUAAAUUCAGGCAAUGUAAGAUUACAUCAUUAACAACCACCAAGUGUAAAAUUUGAGCAAUAAUACAUCUACACACAUACUACAUGAAUUGAAGAUGAUAGACUAAAAACUCAACUAGUGGAUUUUUUCCCACAGGUUAUAUAAAAAGUUCUCUCCAAAAUUCCGUGAUCCAAUCCAAUUCUUCCUAAUAAAGUUUUCAUAUAUGCAAAUGUCAUUUUUCCUAUAAAAUCUUUGUCCAUCAUAGCUUCUGAAUGAACAAAGGUAAGAACCAUGUAUUGCAAAUCACAUGCUAAUUCACAACACUCCUAGUACAAUAAAGAUGGAUGAAGCUGGAAGAUGCACAAGAAGGAAUCUCCUUUUCAUCAAUUUGAGCAUCUAGAUCAUACAAACAAUGAAAUAUACUUCAAAGGAAGUAAUCUGGCGCGGGUCUCUUUGCAGGUGCCCCCCUUGAUUCCUGAGUUUCAACAAAAUUUGAAAAUUUUAAAAUCAAUUUUGCCAAAUUAACACAAUUUUCUAAAGUAUCAUCAUAACCUAGCGAAUAAUAUGGACCACAAAUUGUUUUCUUAAACAUGCAAAGAUAGUGCAGUCCAGAUGAAAAACUAGUCAUAUUAUUGUGCAUUUGGUUCCAUGUUUGGGAGCCUCAGAAUCAAUUCUCAGGGACCAAAAUCACUUUUAGGUAUUAUGUAAAUGUUUGGGAAUAGACAAAAAGAAUUUAUUUUAGUCCCAAAAUCGAUUAUGCAGAGAGGCUAGAGAGAGUAGCUUAUGCGACGGACAUAAUCAAUUGUGGGAUUUCAUAACUUGAUUUCACAAUAUUACCCUAUAGAAAUAAUUUUUCCCAUAAACGUAUCCAAACAUAAAUCACUUUACUUUCAACUCACUUUAACUAUAAUCAAUUUAACCAAAAUCAAAUACGGUAACAUUGAUCCAAACACGCACUUAGUAACACACUAUUCACCACAUGAAUCAAAGGAUUUGUCAUAAAGGGUGAGGCUCAAAUUGCUACUAUUUAAGGAAACCAGAAUCCAGGUAAUCAAUAUCAAGUGCUUUUGCUGACAAACCUGUGGGGCAGCAUCAAACACACGGAACUGCUUAUUAAGAUUUCCAUCCAACUCCAGAAUAGCAGCUACAUUACCACAUCUGUAACAAAGAUAAAAAUGUAUAAUUAAAAACGUCAGAGCACAAGUAAUGAUGGACUUUGAUUGGUUUUGUACCUGUAACAAUAAUUUGGAGCUGACCAGACAGUAACUAUCUGGUUAUUGAACAUCCAUUUAUAACCUUCCAUUACCAACUGAUGAGCACGGCAUAUAUAGUCAAUGUUAUUGGAGUGGUUAAAGGAAGUAACAACGCUGCCACCAAAUAAGAAACCAGCACCACGGGGACUCAGACCCCAUCCAUCCACAAUAUCUUCAGGAUCUGACCAUAGGAGGUCACACAUAGCACCAUCAUGAGGUACCUCUUGCUUCCGAUCAAUAGUUCGUAUCUGGAUAUUAAUAAUAGAUAAUGUAUAUAAUGUCCGCUAAUAAUUUACAAUCUAAAACCUCAGAGACAAAUAAAUUAAGGUGGAAUUUAUAACCUGAUCCAAUGUUGAAAUGGCAGGAGAAAGACCACCAUGAACACUGAAAAUCUUGUUUUCAAUUAGGGCGGACAAGCUGCAUUUUUCCAUUUGUCAACAUAGGAAAGCCAAUAGUGGAGGGGCCUAGUUUUCACAAAUUGAAACAUAAGGGAGCAAAUUCGCUCAUUUUAAACAUGGGGGAGGGACUUCGCACAAUGGUGAAAGAUGAGGGAGUAAAUGUGCAAUUAAGCCUUUUGAUUAUUUGUCCCCUAUUUAGAGCUGGGUACGCGGGUGGACCGCCCCGCGCAGGCCCGCCCCGCACAAGCUCGCCCCGCGUUGGCUCGCCCCGCGUAGACCCGCAUUUUAGCGGUCCUCUAUUUUCCGGGCUAUAGCCCGCACUAGUCCGCGGUUUCGCAGGCCGAUUCGCGGGCUUUGGCCUCUCUCACCCCCUUUUUUGCCCUCGUAGGCCCGCCCCGCAUUGACCCGCCCCGCGCUGGCCCGCUCCGCGUAGGCCCGCAUUUUAACGGUCCUCUAUUUUCCGGGCUAUAGCCCGCACUAGUCCGCGGUCACGCGGGCCGGCCCGCGGACUUCGACCCGCUUACCCAGCUCUACCCCUAUUAAAUGACCUCUCCAAAGUAUAAUUCAUGCACAGCUCAUUAUAAAGGAGCUAUGGAUCAACCAAAAGCCCACAACAAUGAAUCAAUUUAAACGGCCAUAUUCAGAUGCAAAAGAAAAAGAAAAAUUGUUUUCACAAAGGGAAUUAGUCAAUGCAUUUAUGAUGGGAGGAAACAUGUUUACGAAUUAAGCCUUCAAUUUCGCUUACUGAGAAAUUAUGUUACGUUUUAUAAAGAAAAAUAAUAACCAUGGUAGACUUUUUUAUAAAACGUAACAUAAAUUCACGUUUUUUUGAAAAGUAUUGGAAGAACAAUAAUUAAAUGAAUUGACUUAUUUUGGUGUGUGGUCCACUUUUUUUGGCGUAAAUAUCCUCGACCUUUUAAAGCCUAAUUUAAUACUUUACGAGGUUUGACUUUUUUCAUUUAUAACUAAUAAGUAAUUCCAUUAUUUAUGUGGCUCUGCAAAAGAAAUAAUGGAAUUAAUUUUCAAAUAAGUUGCACUCUUUCCAAUAGAAAUUACUGAUUUCCUGUAAUAACAUAAAUCAGCCAAAAUGGAAUAUCAUGUAUAUAAGGAAAAUUUGUGACCACUGUUUUAUUACCGCACAAUCAUAGGAAAAAAUUUCAAAUAGUUAACCCUAAUUUCAGACUAUAUAUACCCCCUUAUGUGACAUUUCUCCUCCAACAUUCCCGGCAUUUCCCAUCAUUCCUUACAUAUUUCAAAUUAACCUUUUUUCUGAUGGCUUCAAGAAUUGACGAUCUGACCAAAAUAGAUGUCUCCAAAGAAACUUGGGCAAUUGUUGUGAAAGUCAAUCAUUUAUGGCUAAGUCUGAGCUUAUAUGGCUCAAAGCUACCCUUUUCAAUGGACAUGAUACUUAUGAAUGACAAGGUAUACAACUUUUUUGCAAAAAUCACUCAUUUUUAAUUUAAUCUUUUGAAUGCAAUCAUAAAUUUCUUAGUUUGUUUACUUUUAAAGUUUCAGGGCUGCAAGAUUCAUGCUACUAUUAGGAAGACUUUGAUUUAUCAAUUUCAGUCUUUGCUAACUGAAGGAAAAGUAUACCAGAUUUGUUCUUUGGUGUUGGCGAAAGCGGAUGUGAUUUUCGCCCAACCGAUCAUUCAUUCAAGAUCAACUUUGAUAUUCAGACUUCUGUACGACUGCUUCCUAACAAGUCUAUCAACAUGACGACGUACUCUUUCGUUCCACUUACUGACAUAAUGUAUAAGGACCAUGUUCAUUACAGACUUAUGUUUUGCAAUGACUAUAAAUAAAUGUCAGGGACAAUCUUUAUCUCAUGUUGGAUUGUAUUUGCCAAGGCCUAUCUUUACUCAUGGACAAUUAUAUGUUGCACUAUCAAGAGUUAAAUCUAGAAAAGGUUUGAAGAUACUAAUCCUAAAUGACCAAGGAGUAGUUUUUAACACUACCCGCAACGUUGUCUAUCAAGAAGUCUUUGAAAAUAUUUGAUAUGUAAGUUCUGUUUUUUACUACAAUUUUGUUGGGUUUAUAUUUUUUAAAAUACCUAAUCUGAUAUGUCUUUGUUUUAAUUGUUGACAGUAUAAAUAAAUGUCAAAAGCUGAUUGGUCAUCUAACUUGAAGGAUUAUUCCGUUGCUAUAAGGUUUGUUUUCAAUUUUCAAAUGAUAUAUCAAGUUCAUCUUUGUAUUGCUUACUAAUUAUUACUAUGAUAUCUACUUUUUUCAUUGUAGGUUAUGAUGCUCAAAUAUUGAAUUGGUAGCAAAAUUCAACUUCAAGUCUCUGAAGUCAUUAUCACUGAACAUGAACAACAAGUUCUAUUAAGCGAUCAUGUUGUUGAUAUUUUUUUGAUAUUUUAAUUUUUUUGUUUUUUCAACGCAUUCCGUAAAAACUUGGAUUUAUAAUAUUGUUCAUGCAUUCCCCCGAAUAGGCCAUACAACGAAUUCUAUUUAACAUUUUUACGUUGAUCUAUACACAUACAUGUUUGAACCUAUUCUCUGUUAUAUUAUAUUCUACAGAUUUAUUUACACAAUAAAUUUAAUCGCCGUGCAACGCACCGGUGAAAAUGACUAGUAUUUAUAAUAAACUAACCUACUAAGAAAAUAACUCUAGCCUAACAUAGGCUAAACUCUAAUAAUAAAAACUGGCCUCAGUACCAAACCGUACUAACUAUCUAAGAGAUAGAUAAAAUCAAACCUAGACCCAAAUACAUUAAGCCCACUCACUAUAAUUUAGAAGUCUAACAUUUAUCUUGAUUUACUUCUGACUGCUUAAAAAAAAUAAUGGCCGAUGGGUAGUCUUUAUCAACUUUGGCCGGCCCAAAUGGAAAACAAUUCACACUCUUGUUGCAAUAGUAAUACUUUUUCCAAUUUCAAAAAAAAGUAAUACUUUUUCCAACUUUUAUUGGUUAAAUCCAUGUGAAAUUAAUCUACUAAACUGUAACCAAAAAAUAAAUCUACUAAACUAAAUGGAUUUAACUCUUAAUUUAAAAGUUUCUGUCUUUAUUUGGUGGGGCCUAACCCAUAAAUAAAUAAGUGUAACACUUACCUAUCUUAAGUUAUAGACAUGCUAACACACAUCAUUUUAGUUUUAUCCCCACAUUCAAAAGCAUGGAAGAGAUAUAGAUGUUGUAGUUCCUUUGAUUGGCUGCAUUUUGCUCAAAACAUGAUGUGCAACCAUAUGUUCCGACAUCUGGAGCAACAUGUUGCGUUUACGUAUGUUGGUAGUUCAAUCACUGAAAUCAAGUUGUUUGUUGGGCUGCUGACUGUAUGGUGAUUCAGAAGAAUUAUUCUAUGUUGUGUGUUUUAUCUUCUGGAGGCGUGUUUGUUUUAAUCUUGGCUGAAGUAACAAGAUUGAUAACGUGUGAACCAAGUAUAUCUUAAAGUUUGAAUUUAAACUUACUUGGUUCUGUUAUUUUAUUCUGGUAAGAUUUGAUUCCUUGAAGAUUCUUUCCAGAAGUGCUGUUGUGGACUCUAUGUCGUUUGGCCCAUUGAAGAUCCAAGCCUCACGUGAACGUAUAUAUAAAGGAGUUUAUAAACCCUAGCAAAACGGGGAUUCUGAGCGUAAAAUAUUGAGUUUAGGGUUUAUUAUUUUGUGAGUCCUGUUGUGAGUAUUGUAACAACUUAGUGCUUCCUGUGCUAUUGCAAGUACUAAGUUGAUAUGUUUAGUUGAGUGCUAGUAUCAGCAAACUUGUUAUUGCUUUUGACAAGUGUGAUCACUGAGGCAGUGAUUGAGAGAAAGAGAGAAGGGUUUCUCAUACUUUGGGGGAGACUUAAGUAUUAAGCCACUGGUAGCAAUAGGUAGAAAGGUUAGAGUCGUGGUUGUUCUUGGUGAACCUUUUGUACGUGCUUGACUAUUAUAGUGGAUUAUCUUUCUCGGGCUGUAGCCCUCCAAACGUAGGUGAUGUUCACCGAACUGGGUUAACAACUCCUUGUGUUCGUUUGUUUAACUGUUUGUUUAUUUUUGAUACUCUGAUUAUGUUUUGUUGUGUUACACAUUGUUGCAACAUUGUGUAUCACAUCUGUCCUAGGUGAAUACGAAUUUCAGAUGUACAUUUUAGAAAAACAUUCUUUCUUACCAAAGUAAUAUUUUGCAUAAAUUUACAAAUAAAAAUAUCAAUCUCUUGGUUCAAAUAAUAACAGAGAGCCUCUAUGGCAUUCCCGUAAAGAGGAUUGACUGUUGGCAAAACUUUUCACAAGUCACCCUCAAGAUAGAUGAUGUAUAUAGAGGGUUAAAUCCAACCAAAACCAGAAAGAUUUGGCAAUGGGAUUCUCUUAUGUAACUCCAAAGUCAGGUAUGGUUAUGAGAUUGUAAUGAAUUGUCAAGGGUUGCUUUUCAACAGCAGAAGCAUCUUCCAGCCUGAAAUAAAAUAUUAUGAUUAUUAACAUAAUAUCUUCAACUAUUAAUAAAUAUAUAUGCAGGGGCACGAAAUGUAAGUCAAGUUUUUUCCCUUUAGAAGAGAAAUUGACUCAUAUGAACCGAGGAAAUCAAGGAAUAUAGUUUUAUAUUCCCCCAUAAUUCUUUUUGUUAAUGAGGCUAGAUACUCUUCUCUGUCUUUCCAGAUUCAUGUCAUACUUACUAUGGCAUAAAGAUAUAGUAUUAGAGAACAAUUAAAAUUUAAAAUUAUUCUUAGGAGUUAACACUACCCUAAAAGCUAGUUUAGGAGUAGAGUCAUAACCUCAAUUUUAAGAUGAGAUAAGAGUUUAUUCUAUAUCAUUUUAUUGGGUCAUCCGUACAUGAGUCAUCCGUUGAUAUCCGAUCCUACAAAUUUUACGCUCUAGAUGUCCAGUCAUAUGCGUUGGGUGUUAAGGUCUCAUAUUAACUAAAAACAUGACUAAAAUAAUUAUUAUAAAGGGAAGAACAAUCAUCACCCCUAAGCUAGAUUUUAGAGUAGUGUUAGUUAGUUCUGCCUCAAAUUUUAAAGAAAUAACUCUAGAAUUACAAAUUUUACACUCCACAUGUGCUUUAACCUCUGUAACUAUAGCAUAAUUCUUUUUAUUUUUAUUUUUAUUUUUAUUUUUAAUUUCCAUGCAAGCUUGAGAUCAGAAAUUGCAUUUCAAAGAAAUAAGAAAUUAUGAGGUGGAACUUCUUUUUUUUUUAUGAGUGGAACUUUAAACCAAUUAAUGCAAAGUGCAAACAAAGACUUCCAAGUCAAUAUAUGAAUGGAAGUUUGUGGGAUGACCUCAUAGCGUCAUAGAUGGGCUAGAAAAAUAAUCACAUGUUUUGUUUCCAUGCGGGUCACUAAUGAAUAUUAGUUGUUCUUGUAUAUUCAUAUGUGAAAACUAAGACUAAUAUCUAAAGAUGAUUAUGGUGACAACGAUCUAUUAAAAUUAAAUUAAAUUCAAUAAAUUGUGAUAUUUUCUCUGCACCUUCAUGUGUCAUUUCAGAAUUCCAUCGGUCUUUGCAAUAGAAACUUAAAGGUUUAAACAAAUCAAUACAAACAAAGACUUCCAAGUCAAUGCAAAUGGAAGCAUGUGGGAUGAGUAUGACCUCAAUCAAUAACGUUAUGGAUGGGCUAGAAAAAUUGAAUCAAUCAUGUUUUAUUUCCAUGUAGGACACAGAAGAAAAACCAUCCAUCAAACUAAAGCUUAAGUUUGCAGCCACAAAAACUCUUAUCUUUCUGUUUUCAAUUUGGUUAUAAAUAUUUAUCAGUAUGACUCCUUACCAUUCAUUCCAUGCUCAAUACUAAAUCACAAACACUUGUCACACAUACUCAUGGGGCAUCUCUCAUUGUUAUUUGGAAUCAUUCUGUGUUUGCUUUUUGAAUUUCCAUCCUUAUGUUUCACGUCUUCACAUUCCUUAUCAUGUCUUCCCGACCAAAGCUCUGCCUUGCUUCAAUUUAAGGCUUCCUUCACCAUUGGUGCUUCUUUUGCACCUUUACUCUUUGAUGUGCGAGAGACUUAUGCUUAUCUAGAUAAGACAGCAACAUGGGAAAAUGGAACAGAUUGCUGCUCAUGGCUUGGUGUCACGUGUGACCGCGUCUCUGGUCACGUGAUUGGCCUCGACCUCAGCUGUGCAGGGCUUGAAGGUAAAAUCCAUCCCAAUAGUACCCUUUUCCAUCUUACUCAUCUUCAGACACUCAACCUUGCUUUCAAUGAUUUCUACUUUUCGCCUUUAUCAUCCCAGUUUGGUAGUCUUGUGAGUCUCACACACCUCAACUUGAGUGCUUCUCACUUGGAAGGUGAAAUUCCUUCCCAAAUAUCACACCUUUCCAAAUUAGCCUUACUGGAUCUCUCUAGCAGUCAUGGAUUAAAGUGGAAAGAAACCACUUGGAGGAGGCUGGUGAAAAAUGCAACAUCUUUGAGGGAACUUGUUAUGGAUGGAACAAAUAUGUCUUCAAUUAGGCUACUCAAUAUGUCUUCCUCUUUGGUUACUCUUAGUCUUUCAGCAACUGGAUUAAGGGUAAACUUGGCAAGUGACAUUUUUUGUUUACCAAAUCUUCAACACCUAUACUUUUCCUGUAAUCCAGUCUUUCAAGGCCAACUUCCAAAAUUGAGUUGUAGCAGCUCUUCUCUCAGUGUCUUGGAUCUUUCAGCAUGUGAACUCCAAGGUUCGAUCCCUCCCUCUUUCUCUAACCUCUCACACCUUACAUCCUUGACUCUCUCUGACAACAACAUCAAUGGUUCAAUUCCAUCCUCACUUUUAACCCUUCCAUCUCUAACUUCUUUGGAUCUCAGUUCGAAUGAUCUUAGUGGCCAAAUCCCAGAUGUUUUUCCUAAGUCAAACAGAUUUCAAGAAUUACAAUUGAGGGAAAACAAAAUAGGAGGGGUGUUGCCACUAUCACUGUCAAACCUUCACCAUCUCAUUCUCUUGGGCCUUUCAUACAACAAAUUUAGCGGUCAAAUCCCAAAUGUGUUUGGUGGGCUAACCAAAUUGAAAACACUCGACCUUGGAUAUAAUAAUUUCAGAGGACAAAUCCCAUCUUCUUUGUUUGACUUGACUCAACUUUCUUACUUGGACUGUUCUUCUAAUAAACUAGAAGGUCCUCUGCCCAAGAAGAUAACAGGGCUUUCAAACCUAACUAUAAGUGCAAUCUCAUCAUAUUCAUUAAAGUAUCUAUAUUUGUCCUACAACAAGCUACACGGAAACAUUCCAGAUUCAAUUUUCAACCUUAUGAAUCUAAGAGGCUUAGGUCUAUCAUCAAACAACUUGAGUGGGCACCUCAAUUUCCAACUUUUCUCCAAGCUUGAAAAUCUGGAACAACUUUCCCUUUCUUGGAACUAUGAGUUAUCACUCAACUUCAGAUCUGAAAUCAAUUAUAGUUUCUCUAAUCUACGACAACUGGAGUUAUCUUCUGUCAGUUUACUUGAAACACAUUCAUUAAAUUUCUUGAGCUACUCUCAAAACUUGUUGACAUUUCUACGUUACCUUGAUCUAAGUUUCAACCAACUAGAAGGUGACAUCUCUACGUCAAUUUGCAAUGCAAGUAAACUUGAGGUUCUCAAAUUAUCUCAUAACAAGUUCACAGGCAGCAUCCCACAGUGCCUUGGACAAUUACCAUGCCUUGAAGUUUUAGAUCUGAAAAUGAACAAACUUCAUGGCACUUUGCCGAGUAACUUUUCAAAGGAAAAUGAGCUUAGGUCUCUAAAUUUCAAUGGAAACCAAUUGGAAGGUCCUCUGCCUGAAUCUUUGUCACACUGCACAAUGUUGGAGUUUUUGGAUCUUGGAAACAACCAAAUAGAGGAUACAUUUCCCCAUUGGCUUCAAUCUCUGCCAAAUUUGGAAGUACUAGUUUUGCGAGACAAUAAGUUUCAUGGUCUCAUUGCUGGUUUAAAAACUAAGGAUCCAUUUCCAAGUUUAAUGAUUUUUGACAUCUCAUGCAAUAACUUGAGUGGACCAAUACCAAAAGCCUAUAUCGAGAAUUUUGAAGCCAUGAAGUAUGACAUUAGAGAUGAGAAUUUUAAAUACAUGGAAACAUCCCCAGUUUAUGGAGGUGCAUACUUUUCUGAUACUGUGACAGUAACACUAAAAGAGAACACCAUCACUUUCAUGAAAAUUCCAACCAUCUUUGCACAUGUUGAUUUAUCAAAAAACAUGUUCGAUGGAGAGAUUCCAGAUGUUAUUGGACAACUUCAUGCGCUCAAAGGGCUCAACCUUUCUUAUAACAGGCUCAUUGGUCCUAUACCCCGAUCCAUGGGAAACUUGAAAAACUUGGAAUCACUGGAUCUCUCCUCAAAUGUGCUUACUGGUGGGAUUCCUACAGAACUAACCAAUAUGAACUCUCUUGAGGUUCUGAAUCUUGCAUACAAUCAUCUAGUUGGAGAGAUACCUCUAGGAAAGCAGUUCAAUACAUUUUCAAAUGUUUCCUAUGAGGGGAACUUGGGGUUAUGUGGAUUACCAUUGUCAAAAAAAUGCCACGUGAGCCCAGAACAACAUUCUCCACCUUCACCAAUCUUGUUGAAGGAAGAGAAGUUCGGAUUUGGUUGGAAACCAGUGGCCAUAGGAUAUGGAUGUGGAAUGGUAUUUGGAAUUGGCUUGGGAUGUUGUGUAUUCUCACUUGGAAAGCCUCAAUGGCUUGUCAGGAUGUUCGGUGGUCAACCAAAUAAGAAGCUGAAAAGGAGGACAAAGAGGAGGACUCAUGGAACAAUGAAUCAACUGGUGCAGAUGUCAUAACCUUGUAAGUUGUAGCAACUAUUUUCUCUUUUACUUUUAUCUACUAUUCUCAAAAAAAUAAAGAAGCUUUAGAGUUUUUGUCACUCUUUUUUAUGUAAUUUGACUUUGGGUUGUGAGUUUGUAAUAUGAAUGUAAGUUCUAUAAAAUAUAGUAAGAUUACUUUCAUGCAUUUUAAGUGAGAUUUUAUCAGAAUUUGGGUCUGUGUUAAGUUUUGCUUCCUCAAUUAAGUGUGUAUUUGAAAACUCAGCAGAUUCCUACAUGCAGGGUAGAAAGGUUCUAGAAUAAGCAACUAGGAGUAGUUUUCCUUAUUCUAAGUGAUUCUGGGAAUUUUAAACGUAAGAAAAAAUGUACUUUAAAACAUUGUUAAACUUCAAUAUGCUUAAUCUGGACACCGGUCAAGACACACCUAAGUCUAGCAGACAAGACUUCUAAAUCAAUGCAAAUGGUUGUACUGGAAUUCACUUAAAAAAUGUUAUGGAUGGGAUAGAAAAUGAAAAAUACUGUUUCCUUUUUUAUUGGAUUGGAAACUUGAAGUUUAGAGAUAUGGUUUUUCCACAAAAGCUUUGAAAUGAUAAAGCUGUUUUAUUUUCUGCAAACUUGGUUAAUGAUCUACCUACGUAAUUCCAAAAAUCCCAUUAACUUAAAUCAUCUUGUAGAAUCACUUUCUAAGUACAUGCUUGAAUACACGGUGAAAAACCACAGUGGACAGCCCCAAAAGCUAAUAGAAGUUGCUUUUGUCCACUGUGAUUUUAGCUCACCGUGGUUUUCCCAUGUAUACAAACAUGCACUGAAUUAUUUAGCUAUGUUUGAAGAGUACAGCUUGAGUUCCAGUUCUGGUUAAUUUAAAAAUAUCUGAUAAAAAUGUCAUAUCCAAGGCAUGCUAUACUUUUGUAACCUGCCAUCACACAAUUUGUAGUUUUUUCCUACAUUCAAAAGUAGGGCAGAGAAAAAAAUGUUUAUUUCUGAAAAGUGUUCCUUCUUACAUAAGUAAUAGCAUUAUUUGCAUAAAUUUACAAAUAAAAAUAUCAACCUCUUGUUCAAAUAAUAACUAAGAGCCUCUACAGCAUUCCCAAAAGGAGGAUUCACUGUUGACAAUUUUUCAACAACACAGGACAGAGUAAUGUCUAAAGGACUAAACCCAAAGCUACACCAAAGAGGGAAUAUAUACAAGAAGCUGAUUCCAAGAUAGCAAUCUUAACAAUAACUAGUUAUUCAUUCCCUUAUUAAUAAAGUACACUCUGAGAAAAACUUUGUGAUACAUUAGAUGCAAGCUGUGUAAGAUAGUAGUCUCCUGAGAAGGAAACGUCACUAAACACUCCAAUCCAUGGUGGAGAAUACAAGAUACGAGCAUUCUCAAGGGAAAACCCAUUAAGAUUUGGCAGUGGAAUUCCCUUCUGUAACUGCAAAUUCAGGUAUGGUAUGAGCACAGUUUUGAGGAUACUUGACGUUAGUGACUGCAAAUGUUUAAAGUUAAAGGGUAAGAUUAAUAAUAAUCUGGAUAUAUACAAUAACUAAGGUUUAACAAGCAUAUAUACAUAGAAAUUAGAAUGGUUGUGCAUGCACAUUUCAAUUUCAUAUUCUAACUUACCUGAAUUGUAUGCAUGUGCAGUUUCCCUAUUUUGCUCCAUCUUAAGUAUGUAGAAAAUUUCCUUAGUUUAAGCCAACCAGCAAGAUUGUUUCCUAUGACUCCCACAGCAAACGUAGCACUAAUUUCCUGUAUCAGAAACAAGCAAGAUUAAUGGGACAUGUUAUGAUAAUGAUCAUGUCAUCAUCAUAACCUCUUUAACUAACAAAAGAAAUAGAAUCUGAUAAGUAGGAUUAGGAUCUUAGGCAUAACAUGAAAAGAUUGGCAACUCGAAAAAUUGUCAGAAGAAGAUCAGAAUGAGGCUAGUAUAUGACAAUCUGAUGACAAAAAGGGAGAAAAGCUUGAAUUCCAUAUAUAGCUUAGACAAAAUGUAGAAAAGGGGUACAUUAUGAAGGAUACUUGUUAGAAGUAUAAUAUAAAAGCAUCAGGUGUCUUCACCCAAUAACCUAAACUUUUGGAACAGUUAGUUCAUGACAUGGUAUCAGAGUUUGUACUCUAUAUGACCAUGUAGUCCAGAGCAUUGUCAUCCUUCAGGCCCAAUAAGCUCUUGCGUAAGGGGACGCGUUAGAAGUACAAUAUAAAAUCAUUCAUGUAUCUUCACUCAACAGCUUAAGUUUUUAGGAUAGUUGGUAGCUAAAUCAAUGUAAGAUUCAAAAAAAAAUUAAACUAUCCUUAAGUAUAUUGAGUUAAUUAAGCAUACCACUGAGAUGCAUGCAACAGGAAUCACUUCAUGAGCUUCCAGAACAUCAAUUAUUAUAUCUGUCAAAAUGGUAGCACCAAUAUCUUGAUCUGACACUUCUAUAACUGGUGGAGAGGUUAUAGAGACAUUAAGAUUCAUGUCAUCAUUUGGAUAUAGCUUGUAUAAUUGCGGAAUAAGGAUUUUCCAUUCAGCAGUGUUCAAAAACGCCUGAUCAGGUAGUUCAUCAACAAUCCAUUGCAACUUAUCUGCCUGAGCACAAGAACAACAUGAACUAUCAAAACUAUAAUUCAGUCUUUAAUAAUGCAAAAGCAUCCAAUAAGAUUUUUGAAGUGAAAAUAGUUAACUGGUGCCACCCAAUUAGUAAUGCCAUGACUGAAUCAGAAACAAGUCAUGAGAAAUAUUAAGGUAGAAGCUAUGCAACAAGUACUAAGAAGCUAUUAUACAUCAUGGAGAAAGAUUAACUUAAAAAAAGGGAAAACUCCAGUAAUUGGACUAAGAAACCGUUUGGAUGCAGACAAAAAAGCACUUAUUGGAGGUAAUCUAGUGCUUUUCCUAGUAGAUAAGCUUCAAUAAGUGCUCUUUAGUCCGCAUCCAAACAAAGUCUAAAGCAUGCAAAACAAUAAACUGAAAAUUUCAGAAACUUACAUUGAAGUAAACUAUGGAAGCUGAUUUGAAAACAUUUUCAUGUAAUGAAAUCUUUAUCAUCUUUGGUACACUACCAUAGGAAACAGAAACUUCUGAUCUUUUGUGGUAUUCUUCAGUUACUAAAACAUCGUUUCUCCCUGUGAAUAAGCCAUUAAUUGCAAGUUCAACAGAAGAAUUACUCAGAACAGGAUUGUCCACAAAAGAAACAUUUAGAACAGCAGUUUUGUCUAAUGAGAUUGUCUUCGGAAGAGAUUGUAAUGAAUUGUCAAGGGUUGCUAUCCCUUCUGUUAUUUUCUUAGAAAUGGCCUUUUCAACAGCAGAUGCUAUGUUCCCUUCAAAAGCAUCUACAAGCCUGCAAUAAAAAAAGUAUUCUUAAAACAAUAUCCUCAACUAUUAACAAAUAUAUAUACAGGGGCACAAAAUGUAAGUCAAGUUUUGUCCCUUUCGAAGAGAAAUUGACUCAUAUGAACCGAGGAAAUAUAGCUUUAUAUUCCCCCAUUUUUGUUAUUGAGUGCGUGCUUCGAUUAGUGUUGUCAGAGUUGGUUUUGGAUAGUAUUGAUUAUGGUAAACGCGAGUUAAAGAGAGUUGAAAGUGAAGUGAUAUAUGUUUGGAUAUAUUUUUGGGACAAGUUAUUUCUAUACAGUAAUGUUGUGAAAUACAGUUAUGAGAUCUCAUAAUUGAUUAUGGCCACUGCAGAAGCUACUCUCUCUAGCUUCUCCGCAGAUCGAUUCUUUAAGUCGACUGUCAAACAUCUAUAUAACCAUCUAAAAGUGGUUCAGGUCAAUGAGAAUUGAUUCUAGGGCUCCCAAACGUGACACUCUUCUCUGCCUCCCAGUUUCAUGUCAUAUUUACUGAAGCAUUGAGUAUUAGAGAACAAAAUUGAAAAAUAGCUCUGGGAUUAUAAUUGAUUGUCAAUGUUUUCCCUAUGUAAAUGUAGAAACCAAUCCGCAGUAAAAGAUCACCAUUCUAUAGAAUAUAGCAUGAGUGAAGAGCUCACAGAAUCAUAAAACAUGUUUUAAGAAAACUGCUUACACUUGGUAAAGCCAAGCUGCUCCACCGUUCAACUUUAUAGUCAAAUCUCCUACAUGGCAUCCAUAAUCUAAGAGGUUCAACUUAAGCGUUCCUUCUUGGUUCCUCAAAUUUACAGUAAGCCCCACUUGCAAAUCUUCAACCUUUCAAAAACAUAGCACAACACAACUAAGUAAGCGAUAUCAUUGACUGAACAGGGGAAAAAACAACUAUCUGCAUUAAAAGUAAAUUAUUCUUACAGGUUUUUGCCUAUCGGAUACUAAAAUACAUGUCUUGUAAAGUUUAACUAUUAACCAUAUACCUUUUUUUUUAAUAUCUUUACUUUCAAUUAUAUCAACUUGGAUAUGCUUCUAAAAGUUGAUCUAGUUCCAGAUGCAGGAAGGGGGAAAAUGCAAAAUCAACAAUAACCUCUUUAUAGCUUCCCUAGGACAACCAGGCUAACCAAAUUCAUAAUGUACUUGGAUCCACGGUUAAACUUUCCAGAAUCUUUUCUUCCCUCAACAUGGAAACCUACCGAAUUUCCAAACACACAAUUGACCAAAACAACCUACUUAUGGAAAACAUGUAUUAUUUAGUUCAAGGUCAAACCUUCUUUAGUUAAAGCACAAAGAAACUAUGUAAACUAUAAGCCAUCAAAACAAAACAGCUUUAGAGAAAGAUAAAUGGGAUUUAACACCUCUAACGUAAGCUAAUCGCUUUAAAGAGUAAAGUAAGUCAUAAUGACUACUGAUUGAGCAAUUAACUUCAUAUUCGAUAGUACAUAUGCAAAUGCAAAUAUAUAAUCACAAUAUAAGUUGUAAUUGCUUACUUCACUCUCUAAAAUCACUCCCUCACAUUAGAGGAGUUGAAUCCAGAUAAAAAGGAUUGCACCAAGUCCAAAACUGAGUAGUAUUAUUAAGUAUACCUUCACAGUAGCUGUUCCACUAUCUGAAAUUCCAACUGGGACUAACCAACUGCUGCAAGUGUACCUCCACUUCAGGGUCAGAUUAGCAGUUGCACCUGAAAUGACAAGAACAAUUCCUGUGUCUCCUGUGUUAACAGAUGAAGAACUAACUUGGAUAUCGUUGAUUGUGAUAUCAGAAAGAAUCACGUUAGCUUUUCCAACAAGUGGAACUUUGACAGUCUUCUCAAUUUCUGGCAGCUGAGAUUGAACUAUAGAGGCAACAGCCUUGUCUAUCACAAAAUCCUUAGCAAAAUCAAGGCCCUUAUCAGAUAUCACCACAGAGAUGAAACCCUCAUCUUCAUUAUGCUGGACACCGCCACAAGUUGAAAUGAACAACAAUAUAAGAAAGGAAAGAAUUCUGGGUGCCAUGAAUUUUUUUCCACUUGUUAAGGGAUGAUGAUCAUUGAUCAAGCACACAUCAACAUGUUAAGGGGAAAGAUUAGAAUUUUAAGAUACCCAUUAGAUGAAAGUUUCAGGAUUUGAGCUGAGUUUUCUGAAGAACAACGACAAGACAAACUGUGAAUCGAGACAUAGGAUGUGUUUGGUUUUGGACUUUUGUUUGUCAUUCAUUACGUUAUUAAGUUGAGUUGGCAAUGGUGAUAAUUGAUUAAUAUAAUAGUAUGUGAGCACGAGCCACACGCGGCUUGUAUUUUAAGGCUUCCAAUAUUCUGAAUUUCUGAUUUCUGAGUAGAAAAUGCAUUAUGCAGUACAAGCUCCAACUCUAAACCUUUUCAACAUUGCAGCAAGUUGGUGUAUGACUUCAUUUAAAAUAACUUAGUUGAGUUUAUCUUAUAAGCAUAAGUGAUUAUGAAGAUGUUUGGGAAAACUUAUGUAAAUAGCUUAUAGUUUAUUACUAUAAGCUAUUUUGAGCUUAGUUUCAUAAGUUGUUUAGAUUAGCUUAUGAAUAAAAGUUUAUGCUUAUCUAUAACAUAUUUUCAAUUUAUUUCAAUAAAUUCCUCAAAUUAACUUAUAAAUAAGCACUUACGCAAUAAGUGCUUAUUGUUAUAAGCUCUUAAUUAAGUUUUUUACCCGAACGUAUCUUAUGUUUGUUUUUACAAUGCAAACGUAGCCAUAAGAUACCAGUGAAGAAGAAUUUGACAUUUUAAGUUCAACAUGAAUCGCGAAUCGCAAAAUCAAAAUUUUACGAACAUUGAAUUUAAUAAGGAUUAGCAUUGACAUCAAAUUUGGCAUGUAAAGUUCAACAUAGAUAGCAAAAUCAAAAUUUUACCACGUUGAAUUUAAUAUGGAUGAGACUUCAAUGAAAAUCCAAAGACAUGCACGUUUCCUUUACUUCUGUUUUGUUCUCUAAAGCAAGUCAAUUGCCAAGUGAUUUUGAAAGACAUUAGGAACUUCCAUGCAUUUGCGCCCCUAUGCAUUAGGAUUUUAUGUUCAUAAUGAUCAUUUUCUUUGACAAAUCAACCUUUAAAUUCAGGCAAUGUAAGAUUACAUCAUUAACAACCACCAAGUGUAAAAUUUGAGCAAUAAUACAUCUACACACAUACUACAUGAAUUGAAGAUCAUAAACUAAAAACUCAACUAGUGGAUUUUUUCCCACAGGUUAUAUAAAAAGUUCUCUCCAAAAUUCCGUGAUCCAAUCCAAUUCUUCCUAAUAAAGUUUUCAUAUAUGCAAAUGUCAUUUUUCCUAUAAAAUCUUUGUCCAUCAUAGCUUCUGAAUGAACAAAGGUAAGAACCAUGUAUUGCAAAUCACAUGCUAAUUCACAACACUCCUAGUACAAUAAAGAUGGAUGAAGCUGGAAGAUGCACAAGCAGGAAUCUCCUUUUCACCAAUUUGAGCAUCUAGAUCAUACAAACAAUGAAAUAUACUUCAA